This 159-nucleotide ribosomal RNA is filed under the name Triticum aestivum (bread wheat). RNAcentral describes it as "partial small subunit ribosomal RNA". The record is from RNAcentral. Lineage: Eukaryota; Viridiplantae; Streptophyta; Magnoliopsida; Poales; Poaceae.
AUGCUUAUGUGUUGGACUAUUUGGAACGAGAUGAAUGCAAGGGUCUUCCGACACAAAUCCGCCCCUACGACAAUUCUUAUGGAGGAGAUUAAAAUAGAAGCGAGGCUUUGGAUCACCGCGAGUGCUAAGCGUGUGGGUCAACUCAUGCCGGGAGGGUAG